This 492-nucleotide ribosomal RNA is filed under the name uncultured bacterium. RNAcentral's name for it is "partial 16S ribosomal RNA". It matches the Rfam family "Bacterial small subunit ribosomal RNA", at positions 29 to 507 of the family's 1533-position model. The record is from RNAcentral.
AUUGAACGCUGGCGGCAUGCUUUACACAUGCAAGUCGAACGGUAACAGGCCUUCGGGUGCUGACGAGUGGCGAACGGGUGAGUAAUGCAUCGGAACGUACCCAGAGGUGGGGGAUAACGCAGCGAAAGCUGUGCUAAUACCGCAUGUGAUCUGAGGAUGAAAGCGGGGGACCGAGCAGCAAUGUUUGGCCUCGCGCCUUUGGAGCGGCCGAUGUCGGAUUAGCUAGUUGGUGGGGUAAAGGCCUACCAAGGCGACGAUCCGUAGCUGGUCUGAGAGGACGACCAGCCACACUGGGACUGAGACACGGCCCAGACUCCUACGGGAGGCAGCAGUGGGGAAUUUUGGACAAUGGGCGCAAGCCUGAUCCAGCAAUGCCGCGUGCGGGAAGAAGGCCUUCGGGUUGUAAACCGCUUAUGGCAGGAACGAAACGGUGUCCGCUAAUACCGGGCGCUAAUGACGGUACCUGCAGAAUAAGCACCGGCUAACUACGUG